This 813-nucleotide ribosomal RNA is filed under the name uncultured bacterium. RNAcentral describes it as "bacterial SSU rRNA". It matches the Rfam family "Bacterial small subunit ribosomal RNA", at positions 59 to 865 of the family's 1533-position model. The record is from RNAcentral.
CAGUCGAGGGGCAGCAUAUGGAUUGCUUGCAAUCCAUGAUGGCGACCGGCGCACGGGUGCGUAACGCGUAUGUAACUUGCCUUAUGCAGGAGGAUAACCCGAAGAAAUUCGGCCUAAUACUCCAUAAGUGUCAGAGAGGCAUCUUUCGGGCAUGAAAGAUUUAUCGGCAUAAGAUAGACAUGCGUGACAUUAGCUAGUCGGUGAGGUAACGGCUCACCGAGGCGACGAUGUCUAGGGGUUCUGAGAGGAAGGUCCCCCACACUGGUACUGAGACACGGACCAGACUCCUACGGGAGGCAGCAGUGAGGAAUAUUGGUCAAUGGACGGAAGUCUGAACCAGCCAUGCCGCGUGCAGGAUGACGGCUCUAUGAGUUGUAAACUGCUUUUGUACGAGAAUAAUAGUUCUUACGUGUAGGGAUUUGAAUGUAUCGUACGAAUAAGGAUCGGCUAACUCCGUGCCAGCAGCCGCGGUAAUACGGAGGAUUCGAGCGUUAUCCGGAUUUAUUGGGUUUAAAGGGUGCGUAGGCUGUCGGAUAAGUUAGAGGUCAAAUGUCGGGGCUUAACCCCGUGCCUGCCUCUGAUACUGUUCGACUGGAGAGCGGAUGCAGCAGGCGGAAUGAGUAGUGUAGCGGUGAAAUGCUUAGAUAUUACUCAGAACACCGAUUGCGCAGGCAGCUUGCUAAUCCGCAUCUGACGCUGAUGCACGAAAGCGUGGGUAGCGAACAGGAUUAGAUACCCUGGUAGUCCACGCAGUAAACGAUGAUAACUCGUUGUCGGCGAUAUACAGUCGGUGACCCAGCGAAAGCGAUAAGU